UAACCGAAUAGGGGAGCCGGAGGGAAACCGAGUCUUAAUUGGGCGUUAAGUUGCAGGGUAUAGACCCGAAACCCGGUGAUCUAGCCAUGGGCAGGUUGAAGGUUGGGUAACACUAACUGGAGGACCGAACCGACUAAUGUUGAAAAAUUAGCGGAUGACCUGUGGCUGGGGGUGAAAGGCCAAUCAAACCGGGAGAUAGCUGGUUCUCCCCGAAAGCUAUUUAGGUAGCGCCUCGUGAAUUCAUCUCCGGGGGUAGAGCACUGUUUCGGCUAGGGGGCCAUCCCGGCUUACCAACCCGAUGCAAACUGCGAAUACCGGAGAAUGUUAUCACGGGAGACACACGGCGGGUGCUAACGUCCGUCGUGAAGAGGGAAACAACCCAGACCGCCAGCUAAGGUCCCAAAGUCAUGGUUAAGUGGGAAACGAUGUGGGAAGGCCCAGACAGCCAGGAUGUUGGCUUAGAAGCAGCCAUCAUUUAAAGAAAGCGUAAUAGCUCACUGGUCGAGUCGGCCUGCGCG
This 518-nucleotide ribosomal RNA is filed under the name Salmonella enterica. RNAcentral's name for it is "partial 23S ribosomal RNA". It matches the Rfam family "Bacterial large subunit ribosomal RNA", at positions 647 to 1165 of the family's 2925-position model. The record is from RNAcentral. Lineage: Bacteria; Pseudomonadati; Pseudomonadota; Gammaproteobacteria; Enterobacterales; Enterobacteriaceae. RNAcentral also lists the same sequence under 1 other name.